This 370-nucleotide long non-coding RNA is filed under the name Mus musculus (house mouse). RNAcentral describes it as "predicted gene, 29992". Lineage: Eukaryota; Metazoa; Chordata; Mammalia; Rodentia; Muridae. The record is from RNAcentral.
GAGUCAGAGAAGUCUGUUGCGGAUCCCACACUCCUUGGCACCCAGAAAGCCACACGGAGGAAACUGGCAUGGAGUCUUUGACUGUCAGCAGAGGACAUCUGGGCUCCCUUUUCUGACUCCCUGCCAUGGCCAGGCCCUCUGUGUCUGCUUCUCUGGAGUCCUCACAAGAAAGUCCAGCGACAGACAGCUGCACUGCCUCGUGACCACAGAUCGGCCAGUGAUGGUUGGAUUCCAUGGACACACUGAUGUCUGUGCCAGGCAGAAGGCUAAGCUGGUCCUCAGCUGAUGCCCUUGAGCACAGGUCAUGCUAAUUCCUUAUGGUAGCCACAGGAAACUGAAGCGUGAGAUAGUGAAUGCUCUGGAAGAUGGU